AUUGAACGCUGGCGGCAGGCCUAACACAUGCAAGUCGAGCGGUAACACAGGAGAGCUUGCUCUCUGGGUGACGAGCGGCGGACGGGUGAGUAAUGUCUGGGAAACUGCCUGAUGGAGGGGGAUAACUACUGGAAACGGUAGCUAAUACCGCAUGACGUCGCAAGACCAAAGUGGGGGACCUUCGGGCCUCACGCCAUCGGAUGUGCCCAGAUGGGAUUAGCUAGUAGGUGAGGUAAUGGCUCACCUAGGCGACGAUCCCUAGCUGGUCUGAGAGGAUGACCAGCCACACUGGAACUGAGACACGGUCCAGACUCCUACGGGAGGCAGCAGUGGGGAAUAUUGCACAAUGGGCGCAAGCCUGAUGCAGCCAUGCCGCGUGUGUGAAGAAGGCCUUCGGGUUGUAAAGCACUUUCAGCGAGGAGGAAGGCGUUGUAGUUAAUAACUGCAGCGAUUGACGUACUCGCAGAA
Molecule: ribosomal RNA, 468 nt
Filed under: Hafnia sp. oral taxon A90
Lineage: Bacteria; Pseudomonadati; Pseudomonadota; Gammaproteobacteria; Enterobacterales; Hafniaceae
Description: bacterial SSU rRNA
Rfam family: Bacterial small subunit ribosomal RNA
Source: RNAcentral